CCUACGGGAGGCAGCAGUGGGGAAUAUUGGACAAUGGGCGAAAGCCUGAUCCAGCCAUGCCGCGUGUGUGAAGAAGGCCUUCGGGUUGUAAAGCACUUUCAGUGGGGAAGAAAGCCUUGGGGCUAAUACCCUCGAGGAAGGACAUCACCCACAGAAGAAGCACCGGCUAACUCCGUGCCAGCAGCCGCGGUAAUACGGAGGGUGCGAGCGUUAAUCGGAAUUACUGGGCGUAAAGCGCGCGUAGGCGGUCUGAUAAGCCGGUUGUGAAAGCCCCGGGCUCAACCUGGGAACGGCAUCCGGAACUGUCAGGCUAGAGUGCAGGAGAGGAAGGUAGAAUUCCCGGUGUAGCGGUGAAAUGCGUAGAGAUCGGGAGGAAUACCAGUGGCGAAGGCGGUCUUCUGGACUGACACUGACGCUGAGGUGCGAAAGCGUGGGUAGCAAACAGGAUUAGAUACCCGAGUAGUC
This 465-nucleotide ribosomal RNA is filed under the name Vreelandella stevensii. Its description in RNAcentral is "partial 16S ribosomal RNA". It matches the Rfam family "Bacterial small subunit ribosomal RNA", at positions 338 to 795 of the family's 1533-position model. The record is from RNAcentral. Lineage: Bacteria; Pseudomonadati; Pseudomonadota; Gammaproteobacteria; Oceanospirillales; Halomonadaceae.